Cucurbita maxima (winter squash) is the source of this 1256-nucleotide long non-coding RNA. RefSeq lists it as uncharacterized. The transcript is spliced from 3 exons. Lineage: Eukaryota; Viridiplantae; Streptophyta; Magnoliopsida; Cucurbitales; Cucurbitaceae. The record is from RefSeq and is a predicted model, not a curated record.
AAGGAAGGGAAGACUAGGAGAGGGGUUGGGAGAAUCGAGGAGCCGCCACCGAGACUUAGUCCAGAAUCGAGGGAAGCCGACAUCGUGAAGAAACUUAGCAGAAAUCUGGGAAUAGUCUAAGACAGUAAGCGCACUUGUGUGGCUCAAAUCUCGUGGCUCAAAUCUCGUUCUAUGUUGAGGCUAAAAUCACGAAAAAAAAUAUCAAGACAUAUUCCUCAACACGAUAUAGAACUUUUCCGAAGGAACCAUAUUGAUUUGAGCUCCGGAUCAAAAGAUGUGAAAAUUGGAAAAUGGUGGAUCGGAAAAGGGCUACAUAUUAUAGGAGAGAGAGAAAAGAAAACAAAAAAGAAAAAGAAAAAAAGGGUGGCGGGCGGCAGAACACGGCUCGGCAGGCGGCGACACGCAUUGAGUGUCGGCUGGAGCGACGCAGCUCUAGCGAAAUGAUGACGCGUGUCAUCAAUAGGAACCAGGCCGAACCGUAGUGAAUCAAACCAUUGGCCGAAUUGACCCGACUCGCGACUGCUUGAAGCAGUCCGCGCAUGGUGGUCGUGGGUGCAGCCUGCGACUAGCGCCUUUCCUGUGCGUGGCUGGCGUGUGGUCGGCGCAUAAGGGCGCGUGGGAGGCUCGUUUUUCAUCCGUUUACCUUCUGUUUGUCCUUAUUCCUAUUUUAAUAAUAUUUUUAUAUGAAUAAGGACCUAAUCAAGGAUUAUCAGUGUUUUUGGACACCUUACAAGCACAGACGCGCUAGCGAAAGGGCACGCGUCAACCAAGUAGGUCACCACACGGAACUUAGGAAGAAAUACUUGGAAUCGCCUUAGUAUGCAUGCAUGCUAGAUUAGUUUCCUUAUGUGAUUGGACUUUUCUAUGUUGUGAGCUUAGGUUGCAAAGUACAUGUUGUAUGACCAAUUAUAUAUGCUUCCAUAAUAAGUUAAACAUGUUUUAUGCUUCCGCUUAGUGUGUAAUUUUUUAUGCAUGCUGAAAGAAGGAUGGGUAAAUUGUGAACUCUGCGUUCCAGGUGUUGAUGGACGUUAUCACCCCGUUGAGCAUAAUUGCCUAUUUUUGCAUAAACGGCACGUGGGCGUUGGGCUGAGGUAGGGUGGAUCAGAGGGUGAAUUGUCACAGAGGAAUGCAUGUCCCGGGGUGUCAGUCCAGUCUUUUCUUUUGCAUUUAGAUUUUCACAUUUUUUUUUUUUUGGAACUUUCAUUUGUUUGAAUCUUUGUAUUGAAACUUUCAGUCAUAGGAAUAAAUGAUUUCAC